AAUCAACGCUGGCGGCGUGCCUCGGACAUGCAAGUCGAACGAUUAAAGCCCUCUUCGGAGGGUGCAUAAAGUGGCGCACGGGUGAGUAACACGUAAGUAAUCUACUUUCGAGUGGGGAAUAACGUUCGGAAACGAACGCUAAUACCGCACAAUGCAGCGGCAUCUAUGAUGACAGUUGUUAAAGAUUUAUCGCUUGAAGAGGAGCUUGCGGCAGAUUAGCUAGUUGGUAAGGUAACGGCUUACCAAGGCGACGAUCUGUAUCCGGUCUAAGAGGACGGUCGGACACACUGACACUGAAUAACGGGUCAGACUCCUACGGGAGGCAGCAGUCGGGAAUUUUGGGCAAUGGGCGAAAGCCUGACCCAGCAACGCCGCGUGAAGGAUGAAGUUUUUCGGAAUGUAAACUUCGUAAGAAUAGGAAGAAUAAAUGACGGUACUAUUUGUAAGGUCCGGCUAACUACGUGCCAGCAGCCGCAGUAA
RNAcentral lists this ribosomal RNA (480 nucleotides) under uncultured bacterium. Its description in RNAcentral is "partial 16S ribosomal RNA". It matches the Rfam family "Bacterial small subunit ribosomal RNA", at positions 32 to 523 of the family's 1533-position model. The record is from RNAcentral.